UUCUUUAUCAAGGUAGGAACGAGAAGACAGAUGUCGUGGUGAGGUUAAAUGUGUUUUUCAGAGCUGGUGAAGAAGGGAAUAAGUUGCCUUGGAAAAAUGUGAAUUUCCCACCGACCACCUGGAAGGAAUGCUAAAGAUUCAAGAAUCCAUCUCUCUGCAAGAGAGCACGACUUCAUUCUAGCUGCCACAGUCAGUGACUCCCCAGAUUAGGCAAAUGCUGGAGGCUCGCCUGUCCGAGGUGUAGGAGGAGGAAGGCGCAAACACUGUUGGCUGCCACCAGGCACCAGAACCAGCCAUGAGCCUGAUAGAUUAAGGACAAUAACCAACACGUGUUGACCCUUCCACACAUGCCACGCACUGAACAAUGCACGUGUGCAACCUGGCCCACGGCCACACAGCUGGCCAACAGAACACCAGGCCCCAGUCCCACUGACCCUGAAGGUCAUGCAUUAGCCUGCUUUCUCCUUUCUCCUUGGUGGGCAUGGGGUCACACCACGAAGUCCUCCCACAUCUCGAUGGGACCACAUUACCUGACUAUUGUAAAGUGACGCUAAUGGUCCUGCCUUUUCUUGAUUAAAGUGAGGUCUGUUAGGAUGUUUCUGCUCUUGAGAAAGUACAUUUCAGAGGUUCAGACUAAUCCUCAAGUUUAAAAAAAAAAAAAAAAACUGUGGAGACUGGCAAGCGUUACAGAACAGGGACUCACCCGAGGAAACCUGAAUAGCUCAUGACAAGCUGCGUCACAGCGCACCACUAAUUAAGAAUGCUCAGAUAGCAGCUUGGGCCUCAGGGGGCCACUGCAGCAAGAACCAUGGCAUCCCUCUGAGCCUGAACAAGCACUUUGUCAUUAACCUGAUGUAUAAUUAACACGAGCAAAAAAUGUGUCUCCUCCCUUUGUCAAGAAAGCCCUGGGGUGCACCCCAGGCCCACAGAGAAUAUGCUUCCUGUAAUGGUCUCACUUUCGUUUUGACCCAGAGCCCAUUUUCAGACAUUGUCCUGAAGUUGGAUGAGCUCCCCAGACCUCCUGCCAACAGCCAGCUGACAUGCUGCUCGGGGAGCCUGAGAGAAGAACUGCUCUUCUGCAGCAUCCAGCCCCUGCAUUGUAACCAGCUGCGUCAGCCCAAUGGGCAGGAACCAGGGCCUGCAGCUUGCCCACCUGGAGAAGCACCAGGUUCAAGGACGCAGCCAAGUCUCCUCCUCAGGCCUUUGGCCUCUCCCACUUGUGCUGCUAUUGUCUUGGAAUUCGAAGAAUGCAAAUCCUCCACGUCUGCAGCAGGUCUACAUCGAAGGGCACAUGAUGGGGCAGCUUCUCCCCUGCAUUAGCUCAAGUCACUGCAGUGACCCAAGAACAGCUCUGGCAGCCUAUCUGUCUUGUCACCUCUGCAGAGGCAGACAUCUGCUGUCCCUUCCCAGGGCUCCAUCACGCUCAGCUCUUACCCCACGACUGCCUCCAUGUUUGCCACUCUCUGGGACUUGAGUUAAAAACUCCCUGGAAAAAAGUUUCAAUUUGUCAGCUACUCAUCUCCCAACAAGAAGGGACUACUGGCCAGAGCUCUUGAGCCAUUUUGCUGGAAAAGUCAUCACUUGCCUAUAUCCUGAUUCUUUUUUUUUUUUGAACUGCCAAACCACACGUCCACUGCUCUCCUCCCCACUGUAAAGUACUCAGUGUGCAUCUUUUUGUUCGUGUUCUUGCAAAAUGAAUACUAUGCAUAUUUUCACAUAUUAAGUGCAUGCCAUAGC
This 1737-nucleotide long non-coding RNA is filed under the name Marmota monax (woodchuck). The record is from RNAcentral. Lineage: Eukaryota; Metazoa; Chordata; Mammalia; Rodentia; Sciuridae.